UUCAACCGUUUAUCGGGAAACAAACAUUCGUUUUGAUUUUCAUUCAGAACAUCAUUUUCCAAAAUUCACCUCCUUCCCGUCCACCUCUCAGGAUUGGGAAGUUUAAAUACAUAUGUUUACCUACUAUUUCUUAAGGAGAAAAAUGCCCUGGAUUCCAUAACUUUCGCAUAGUUCAUGACCACUCAUUGACUGGGCUAUGUAGCGGUUUCUCGGAAUAAUGCGGCGUUUCAGUUCAGUUUUACACUUAGAUUAGGAUGCCGUGAGGACACUUGCUUUCUUGUACGUCAUUCGGAAAUUGCAGUGACGUUGAAUGUGGUAUUGUGUAAUUUAUAAUUGGAACGUUGUUUUCAUCUGAGCAAUGCUUCUCUUAUCAGAUGAAUUGUUGAACUGAUAACCUGGCGUCGCUACUGUUUGAUAAUAAUUGUGUGGAACGGUGAUGCCAAUUUUACCCACAGCAAACGCUACAAAUCACUCACUAACAUACUUUCGUACUGGCCUACAUGUUCUAUGGCGAACUCACCUAAGCAUUAUAAAAAAGAGAAUCAGAACGAGGAUAGAGAAAUGAAAGUAGACAUCUAUCUAUAGAAAGUUUCGUAUAGAUGAAAUGUCCCUUUGAGCGGUUAACCGGCCAAAGAAAAGUAUUUUUUUGGCCGUUAGGCCCAUGCAUUUUUUUACAUGAUUACGCUGUAAAUGUCUAAUUACGCAUUAAAUAGUUACAAGAA
Long non-coding RNA from Leptinotarsa decemlineata (Colorado potato beetle), 722 nucleotides. RefSeq lists it as uncharacterized. The record is from RefSeq and is a predicted model, not a curated record. NCBI's taxonomy places the organism in Eukaryota, Metazoa, Arthropoda, Insecta, Coleoptera, Chrysomelidae.